AGUGGCGUGAUCUUGGCUCACUGCAUCCUCCGCCUCCCGAUUCAAGUGAUUCUCCUGCCUCAGCCUCCUAAGUAGCUGGGAUUACAGGCAUGUGCCACCACACCCAGCUAAUUUUUGUAUUUUUAGUAGGGACAGGGUUUCACCACGUUGGUCAGGUUGGUCUUGAGCUCCUGACCUCGUGAUCUGCCCACCUUGGCCUCCCAAAGUGCUGGGAUUACAGGCGUGAGCCGCUGCGCCCGGCUAUUUUUUUUUUUUCUUGGAGUUAAUAACUGCUCUGUUUGUUCACUUAACUUGGUCUUCUAUAUAUACCUGUUUCUUCCCAAAUAGGGAGCCCAGAAUUUAAAAAACUAAUUAUUUGUUGACCACAGCAAACUAAUUAUUGUUUCCCAAUGGUAUUCUAAGUUUUCUCUUUAGUUAUCCAUACUAUUAUUAUUUCUUCUGUACUUUUUUCACUGUUACACCAGAGUGGAGGUUGCAGUGAGCUGAGUUCAUGCCACUGCACUGCAACCUGUGCGACAAGAGUGAGCUCUGUCUCCAAAAAAAAAAAAAAAAAAAAAAAAAAAAAGUUCAAAUGGUCAUAUUUGUAGUCUGUUUUUAAAAUCAAGUAAUGGAAUAAAUAGGUUUUUAGAGAUAAUGGGUUGGAGGCAAUUUGGAAGGUUUAUUUAGGUUGUCAGAAGACUAGUGUUGAGGGUGAUGGUUUGUGGGGAUUUAAAAAAUCCUCAGACUAUUUGAAAUUAGGGUAGUAACAAGUCCCAGGAUAUAUGUAUGAGUUUAACAUCUAUGUAGAGAUUAAAAUGUAGAAGCAUGUCUAAUCAACUUUUUUUGGCUGUAUAAUGUCCUAUAACUUAGCUGUUAACUGCUUAACUCACUGCUGAGUACAUAUUGAACGUGCAAUAUAUAUUUUAUUUUUGG
This 912-nucleotide small RNA is filed under the name Pan troglodytes (chimpanzee). RNAcentral's name for it is "sense overlapping". Lineage: Eukaryota; Metazoa; Chordata; Mammalia; Primates; Hominidae. The record is from RNAcentral.